Helianthus annuus (common sunflower) is the source of this 1360-nucleotide long non-coding RNA. RefSeq lists it as uncharacterized. NCBI's taxonomy places the organism in Eukaryota, Viridiplantae, Streptophyta, Magnoliopsida, Asterales, Asteraceae. The record is from RefSeq and is a predicted model, not a curated record. The transcript is spliced from 4 exons.
AAUCAUUCCCCUUGCCCCUCCCAAAACCCACGAUGCCGCCACCACCAGAACCCGCACCUCAUCGCCGCUCCACAGCCUUCACUGCACCAGGAUUACUGGAGAAGAAGCAGAGUUAUUCAGGGAAAAUCGGACUUGAGCGCAGGUUGAAGAAGAUGCUUGUCGAACUUAACGAAUAUGAUCACGCUCGUCACAUUUCUAGACCCUUCAAUUUAAAAGAAGCUCUUUAGUUUCUGCCUUGUCACACAAAUGUUGGUUGAGAAUUUAGCGGCAAUGGCUUCUAAGGUGCAGACAAAAAUUCAAGUGUGUUGUGGCAAAAGAUAACAUCUAUUGGGAUCUAAACUACAUUUAAGGAGAAAGAGUCUAAAGCCUCGUACUUGCUGGAUAACUUUAAAGUUUAUGAUGGUGGCUUUGUUUGCUGUGAAUUGACGAACUGUCGAUAGAGCUGUGGCGAAGACAAGGGUAAAGACAUCUACCAAUCACUGUAGCGGGUUGCUGGGGAUGAGUACGUUGCUGCCAUACCUUCGGCAGGAGCGGUGGUGGUCAGGAUGGCGGCUAUUUGAUGCUACGGUCGUCAUCACUGGUAGCGAGUUUCCAGGGAUGAGUACGCUGCUGCCAUGGGGUCCCUAUUCAUGUUCUUGAAGAUGUUAAAGAUGCAACUCACAAGUUUUUUUGAGUUGCCAGCAGCUAAAGAAAAGAAGAAAUACUCGAAUGAUGCAACUCACAAGUUAUUUGAUUAUAUAUAAUAAUUACCUAUCGCGGAUCACGUGUGGGUCUAAACGGACUUAAUUAAACUAACGAACGAUACAUAUACAUCUAUCAAGGAUCACUGAGAUUUUUUACUGCAGGGUCCCGAUUUGUCUGAGCUUUACAAGUCCGCAAUAGAGGCGGCGACUGGGACUGCGUAUCUGGUUAGUUAUUCGGUUACCCUUACGACUUCUAUACACCCGAUUUAAAUAAAUCAAACCGCCUACGUGAACAAAUAAAUCUGACCAAAUGUCUUUUAAAUGUACUAACUAGUCUCCUAAAUACACUAAAGUCGUUUCACAUGUCAAGCCAAUGUAACCAACAUUACAAGAGCUUGGUUUUGGGAAUUGUUGAUACAUGAUUGUGGACGCGACUCGACUUGACGCACGUCGGCUCGGGCAACGGCAUUCCUCCGUCGUUUUGCUUUAAAGAUCGACAUGGGCCAAAAGACUUAAAGGAAAGGAACUAGUCCUUGGGCUGAAUCAAGACAAGAAACAAGACAUGGGCUUACUUUGUUUGGCGAAACAACUUUUGGGCCCAAGCCCAACAUUGAUGAAACACGUAGUUGACGAAACAAGUCUGUUUCGUCAACCUCAUUUGUGUUUCUUCAAAAAGU